GAGACCUGGCUAAGAAUUUUUAAAGAUUUUUUUCUUUCCUUUCUUCUUUUUUCUCUUUUCUUUCUUUCUUGUAAUUUCUUUUUCCUUUUCUUUUUCUUCCCUUUCUUUUUUUAAACAAAUGCAACUAUGCUUAAAUAGGAAAAGAACAUCUUCAAAGCGAGGGGGGCACUAAUGGAGGGGGACAGCUUAAAGCCAAGGUUUAAGUGAAAGACCAGAGGCGUAGAAUAGAGGCCACUUUAAAUUGCAAAUCUGAGAAUUUUGAACGGAGGAAAAUGACCUCCCCCCAAAUCACGAACGAUUGAAGAACAAUAUUGAGAAAACUUUAACACGUACCAUAGACUAGGCAAAAAAAAAAAAAAUAAUGUGUUAAUUUUGUCUUCUGAAAUCAGAUGCAAUCAAUCAUCUCUGGUUCUUUAGAAGGAGAGGGGAAGAGGGGAGCAAUGACUAGAAGAAAUAAAGGGGGAAACUGAAUCAGAACUGAAAGAGCAACUUUAGGAGAGACAAGAAAAGGAAAAGUUGCAUUUGGAAACAAGUCCAACUUUCUACCUUUUUGGACUUAAGAGAAAAAGUAAAAUCAGUUUUCUCGUGUAAAACCUGGAAAGCAGAUGUUUUCAAAACACAGGAAGCUGCUUUGCCAUCAAAAGCAGGGAUGUAAUAAAGGCAGUGAAAAAUAAUUUCACACUGAAUUCGUAAGAAAGAAAUCCAAUAUAUUUAAAUAGCGAGGAAAGAUCUAGAGUGUAGAAAGGGGGGGAGAUUACAUACCCCUUCCCUAAUGCCAAAAAAAAAAAAAAAAGUCUUAACAGCUACCUCCAAGAGUUUGGAGCAGUCUCGAAGCCAAAGGGCUUGAAAUGAGAGGAUGGAUUUCAGAUAAAGACUGGGAGCAGUACAUCCCACCAGAGCCCAAAGGAGAUCCCUGGAAUCAAAGACAGCAGCCAGGGACCCUGCUACUGUAAGGGUACCCAGUACAUCAAAGCCAGCACUUAGGCUGGUGCAAGGUACCUCCAAAAAUCAAGCAAACAAUCGCAGGAAGAACAAGUCUCUCUCUCUCUCUUUCUCUCUCUCUCUCUCUCUCUCUCUCUCUCUCUCUCUCUCUCUCUCUCCUAGCCUCAGCAUCACUGCUACUGAAUAGAUUUUUUAAUGACAAGUAUGUAUUUAUAUAAGUUAUAAGUAUGAGCUGCUACCAUUGAAAUUGCAAUGUCUGAAAUAAAACGCAAUCUGUACUUUAACUGAUCUGCAAACAAAUUUAAAACUUGUUUUUCAAGGCAUUAUUAGUAAACCCUGUAACAUCAAGAAGAGACAGAGCGCUAAAACUUAUUUUUUCUAAAAAAAAAAAAAUUCUUGCCCCAGCCAACCAAGAUUAUUUAUCAGAGAAGGAAUUUGGGGAUUAAUCAGAAAAUCUGUUUGAUUAGAAAGUAAUUCUUCAUUUUGAGAGAUUUUCCAAUGCUCUUAAGAGCAUGCAGCUUCUUAGUCAAGACCAGGGGGAGAAAACCGGUUUAGGAUUUUGCAGAGUUACCUCAUCUAAUCCUUCUGAAUUCACUCUGGAAAUAAUGCUGUUUUAUUUAGAGGAAAAAAGAAAAAGAAAAUACAUUUAGCAAAAUCGGGGGUUUCCUCUCUCUGAGCCAAAUCUGGAUUGCCAUUCAAACUUUUCCUGGCUGCUUUUCCAUGCGGGACAGCUGAUCAAUAAAGCCAAGUCCAGCCUGGCUUGCUACAGGUUUCACCAGUCAGUGCUUGCAAAACCUUUGUCAUUUUCUAAAAAUAAAAAAGCUAAAAGUUAUUGUAGAAGAAGGGGCUUUUUUUGUCCCCUGCACAAUGUGUCUUUUGUGAGGUUAAUGCCAUUCUAGGCUCUCGAUAGCCCUGGACAAUGGGAACCCUCCAGGAGCUUGCAAAGACUCUGGCUUUUUUCUUUCUUGCCUUUUUUUUUUUUUUUUUUUUUUUUUUAAGGAAAGGAUGAAACAUUCCUACAGUCCAAAUACAACCUCUACUUUGAUUAAAUAAAUAUUUAUCUUUAUUGUAGGCAUUGUAUAUUUUUACCUUCAGGUUGUCCGGUUUCUGAUUAUUAUUUUAAAUUUUUAUUGGCAACAAUUAAUCUUUUUUUUUUUUUCCCUUUCAGUCCAAAGUGCAGGUCAGUGUAAAAUGUAGCUGGCUGAAAGAAGACUGGUAAAUUCUGAAUUUUUCCAUAAUACAGCAGUGCCUCUCCUCUAAGCCAGUAAUGGGAUUUAAAAUGAGAGAUUCCCAGUCCUCGUCCUCUCUCUCAUUGCAUUUCACUCUCUUCGCCCCAGAAAACCUCUGCGUAAGGGACUGCACGUCUAAGGGGACGGUUUAAUGGGAAACAAGGUUUGGGAGCGCAUCAACUUUCUCUUUUUCAAAUGAAGUUGAAAAAAAAUUCUAAGGACAAUUUCAACAUCAAAUGACAUCGAACAGAUACUUUUCCAACACAAAAUUUUUCCGAUUCGUUUGUUUCCCGUUCUUAGAAAUAGAAAAAAGGCAAAACCAA
Molecule: long non-coding RNA, 2494 nt
Organism: Cavia porcellus (domestic guinea pig)
Lineage: Eukaryota; Metazoa; Chordata; Mammalia; Rodentia; Caviidae
Exons: 2
Source: RefSeq, a predicted model, not a curated record